AAAAGGGUCCGAAUGAAACCCUGCAGCCAUGGUUGUCCUCCAGGACCGGAGUUGGAGACCCCCGACUUAAAGCAUUUAUAAGGAGAAACUCAAGCAGCGGUGCAAAGGCAAAUACACAAAAUUCUGCGCCUGCACCUCUCCGUGCAUUAUCACUUGUAAGAAAAAGAAAAAAAAACUCUCGACGGACUCCAGGAAGACAGGGGAAUUGCCCCGUUUAAUAUCCGCUGGACAGAAACCCAAGAUCGAAAACAAAAAAAAAAAAGCAUCUGACAAAAGAAAAGACCUUCAGGUGGGGUAUUCAUACAAGAUGGAGGCAGGAAACGAGAACAAAACAAAAUGGCCGGACGUGACGUCAUCUCGGUUGGUUGCCGGAAUUGACUUCACCAAUGGAACGUGAAGGUUGGGAUGUGGUUUGAGAAAGUAGAAUUGUUGGUGGUGAGUUAUUAUUUGUCUUCCUCAGUUCUGUUAAUGAAGAGAGAGAGACCUUAGUACCAGCAAAUCAACCCUUCGUCUCUUGUGGUGUCAGUCAUCUUGGGGCUUGUUGGUUGCUUCCUAAACACACGUGUGUGACACCCUGCAAUGUCACGGGAUCGGGACUCUGUCCUGACAGAUCCAGCAUCACGUCAUGGCGAUUCAGCAGCCAAUAGUCCUGUGGUUCCUUCUUAGUAGUCAUCUUGGCCUUUUUCACAUCACUCACUAACUUCUGAGUCUCGGAGACCUCGACCAUCAAGCUGCCUCCCCCUAAUGGCCAUGCCACAGCUGUGUCAGCCAAUCCGAUGAAAGGACCCCUCUACCCCACGAUUCCUGCGAUC
Long non-coding RNA from Polypterus senegalus (gray bichir), 812 nucleotides. RefSeq lists it as uncharacterized. The transcript has 3 exons. The record is from RefSeq and is a predicted model, not a curated record. Lineage: Eukaryota; Metazoa; Chordata; Cladistia; Polypteriformes; Polypteridae.